UGGGAUCAGGCCCGAAUGAAGACCCCUGAGAUAUGAGGAGCCAAGCUGGAUUCUGAGACACAUGCCUGCCCUCAGAGCGCCCAGAAUUUUCAGACUACCAAAGACCAUUACUGCUGAGUGGUGUUCAGAUGCCCUGGGAGCCACAGCGAGGCUGGAGAGGUCAGAGACAACGUCAUAAGGAGGUCAGGUGUGGGCUGAGAGAGGGGCUGACCAGGUUGGGCAUACCAGACACUGGAAACAGCAUCUGCAAAGACACAGAGCCCAGGCCUCCAGGUACGGCCCGUCUCCUCAAGGCUCCGUUGGCAAAGUUCAAGCGCGGGAGCUGCCUGCGCCCAGCCCAGCUGCCUUCUCCCAGAGGUGGGACUGAGCACAGCCAGAGCCGUCUGUGCAGCCAAGGCCUCCGGGGCUGUGCCACCCAUCACCCCACGCAGGACUCCGUGCGGGGCUGCAGAAGGGAUGGGUGCGGCAAACGUGCAUCGCCUUGGCCUGGGAUGAGCUGAACUGAUGUGUGUGACGGCUCUUCCUCUGGCCUUGCUGGGAAGCCGGUCCGACUGCAUUGGGCCCCCGGUUUCCAUGGGGGUAAAAUGAGAGUUUGGGAUGACACGUGUGGUUUCCAAACUCUGCUUUCAGAGCCCCAGGCAUUCUCUGGGGGAGAAGCACGGCCAUAGGAGUUCCUGGUCUUACCAGGUACACGGGGCUUCAUUCCUAAGAUUUCGUUUGCAGAACAAGCCCACAGCUGAGAUAAUUUUGAUCACGUCUGGGCUGGGUGAUGCCUGUGUCCAUCCCAGCUCGAACCUUCCAGGAAUGGGCAGUGCUGCAUCCCCCGCAGGAGGGCCCAGGCUGCAGGCUGAGGAAGGAUGAACCAAAGGACCUUCCCCUCACACCUUGGGUUGAGUGCAGUACGAGACCCUCAAAUACAUAUGCCCAAGACACAGAGGGACAAGGCUGGCUGUGGAAAGUGGGCUCGGGAGGUUCCAGCCAGACCCAGAAGAGGAUGUGCACCUGCGUUCCCCCCUUACACACCUAUGCACACACGCAUGCACGGACACACAUACACACAGGCACACACACACAUGUGUGUGCACCCAUGCACACACGCACGCAGUCCACCGCCCCAACCCCUGCACAGCCCUGCCUACAGAAGAAGACUCCAGCUCAAGACGUUUCCUUACGUCCGCCUCUGAGCCCGGCCCCAUUCCCACUUACCUCCUCUUUGGACUCUUCAAGCUGACCUAGCAGAGCGCAUCUCUAUCUGUUUUUCAAAUAUUUGGGGCUUGCUAAAGACCAACACAUUUUUUUUUUAAGUGUGUAUAAUUUGAGGGCAAUUUAAUCCAUAUGUUUCUGAUUCUCUUGCACUUAAAUCAU
This is a long non-coding RNA of Ailuropoda melanoleuca (giant panda), 1365 nucleotides long. RefSeq lists it as uncharacterized. NCBI's taxonomy places the organism in Eukaryota, Metazoa, Chordata, Mammalia, Carnivora, Ursidae. The record is from RefSeq and is a predicted model, not a curated record. The transcript has 3 exons.